CGUCUCUGCAGUCUCUGGGCGAAAAAAAGCAGGAGUUUUUGUGAGUGGUCAGGCAGGGAACAAUGACAGUGGAGUGCGCAUGCACGAGACGACUCCAUGUUUUUCUUUCAGUCUAUGAAUGAAUAUAACGUCGCCCAGUUGGAAUAUUAUCGCUAUUUUACGAGAAAAAUUGCAUAAAAAUAGAUUAGAAACAGCGUUUGACAUGCUUGAAAGUGCUGGGAUGGAAUAUUUUGAAUUUUUUUGUCACGAAAUGCACCCGCGCGUCACCCUUCGGAUACUGACAUGAACGCACGAACAAAACAGAGCUAUUUGGAUAUAACUAUGGAUUAUUUCGAACCAAAACAACAUUUGUUGUUGAAGUAGAAAUCCAUGGAGUGCAUUCUGACAAAGAACAGCAAAGGUCUAGCAGCCUGGACAACCAGAUGACGGGUCUGGAACGACAAUUCCAAUCCAGACAUCCACUGCCCUUUCUGGUGGUGGACUGCUCUGUUGGCAGAAAGACUAACAGGGUAAACCACCAGAGGGGGACCGGAAUGUCAAUCAGCAACCAGGACAUCCCCUGGCCAUUCUUGUGGUGCUUUACAGCUUUCAGAAAGCCUAUCCGUCUUAAGCACCAGAGGGGGACCGCAACGAUGAUCCACAACCAUGACAUCCCGUGGUCAUUUUUAUGUUGGUUUGUAACUUGCAGGAUAAUCACAAGAUUGAAUCCACCAGACGGGGACUGUCAUGACUUGCCCUCUUGGAUGGAGAUCAAAGGUGCCGGCUAACCAAAAGUUUCAAGACCCCCCUACUCCUGGGGGAGUUGGCCAGUUUUAUGAUGGUCAUAAAUACCGUACAGGAACUCUCUCUCCCACUCUGCAGAAAUUGAAGUUUUUACAAUAGAGUGAGAUUUUGCAGUACUGUAAAAUCAAAAGGUUGGACAUUGAAACAAUAUUUCUAACGUAAAUAAUGUGGGAAAUGGUUGGUGGGACUUAAAAGAUAAUCAUAUCAAAUCAGUUGUUGUUUGUGAUAUCGUUAACUUCUAUGGGCUAGGUGGACUCUAUUCAACAGCCAGUGGAAUCGCGUGGCGCGAAAUACAAAUACCUCAAAAAUUCAAUAAUUUCAAUAUUUCAAACAUACGACUAUUUUACACCAUUUGAAAGAUAAGACUCUCGUUAAUCUAACCACAUUGUCCGAUUUCAAAAAGGCUUUACAGCGAAAGCAAAACAUUACAUUAUGUUAGGAGAGUACAUAGACACAAAUAACCACACAGCCAUUUUUCAAGCAAGCAUAUAUGUCACAAAAACCCAAAACACAGCUAAAUGCGGCACUAACCUUUGAUCUUCAUCAGAUGACAAUCCUAGGACAUUAUGUUAUACAAUACAUGCAUGUUUUGUUCAAUCAAGUUCAUAUUUAUAUCAAAAAACAGCUUUUUACAUUAGCAUGUGAUGUUCAGAACUAGCAUUCUCACCCAAAACUUCCAGUGACUCAUUACUCAUCAUAAACGUUGACAAAAUACGUAACAAUUAUUUUAAGAAUAAUAGAUACAGAACUCCUUUAUGCAAUCGCUAUGUCAGAUUUUAAAAUAGCUUUUCGGCGAAAGCACAUUUUGCAAUAUUCUGAGUACAUAGCUCAGCCAUCACGGCUAGCUAAUUUGACACCCACCAUGUUCGAGCAACCUAAACUCAGAAUUACUAUUAGAAAAAUUGGAUUACCUUUGCUGUUCUUCGUCAGAAUGCACUCCCAGGACUGCUACUUCCACAACAAAUGUUGUUUUUGUUCCAAAUAAUACAUAGUUAUAUUGAAAUAGCUCCGUUUUGUUUGUGCGUUCAGAUCACUAUACAAAAUGCGUGAGCGCAUUUCGAGACAAAAAAUGUCAAAAUGUUCCUUUACCGUACUUAGAAGCAUGUCAAAUGCUGUUUAAAAUCAAUUUUUAUGGUAUUUUUCUCGUAAAAUAGCGAUAAUAUUCCAACCGGGCGACGUUGUAUUCAUUCAAAGGCUGGAAGAAAAAAAUGUAGAAUUCUCAUGAACGCGCUUUAUCAGUGUCACUGUUCCCAGCCUGACCACUCACAAACAGAGCUGCUGUACUUCGCCCAGAGACUGCAGACACCCCAUUACACUUUCUGGCGCCUUCUGAGAGCCAAUGGAAGCCUUAGAAAAUGUCACGUUACAGCAGAGAUGCUGUAUUUUCGAUAGAGAUGCAACAGAAUGAGAACAAAUUGUCAGACAGGGCACUUCCUGUAUGGAAUCUUUUCAGGUUUUGGCCUGCCAUAUGAGGUAUGUUAUACUCACAGACACCAUUCAAACAGUUUUAGAAACUUUAGAGUGUUUUCUAUCCAAAUCGACUAAUUAUAUGCAUAUUCUCAUUUCUGGGCAAGAGUAGUAACCAGUUUAAAUCGGGUACGUUUUUUAUCCGGCCGUGCAAAUACUGCCCCCUAGCCCCAACAGGUUAACUUAGCUGACACUCGUUUAUUUUCU
Molecule: long non-coding RNA, 2457 nt
Filed under: Salmo salar (Atlantic salmon)
Lineage: Eukaryota; Metazoa; Chordata; Actinopteri; Salmoniformes; Salmonidae
Description: lncRNA (ENSSSAG00000111993.1)
Source: RNAcentral